UUCUAUUCCUGGAGCUGAUGUUUUAAUGCC
RNAcentral lists this non-coding RNA (30 nucleotides) under Rattus norvegicus (Norway rat). The record is from RNAcentral. Lineage: Eukaryota; Metazoa; Chordata; Mammalia; Rodentia; Muridae.